UGGCUCAGGUCUGAAGCACAGCCUGGCUGAGAGGCAGCUGGCACCGGCCCAGGCACGAUUGCAUGCCUGCCCCUGUGGGCCCCACUUCCAGCAGGUCACCCGGUCUGUGUUGUCACCUUGAAACAUUCUAGAGAGCUGUGAGCUUCAGAAGGAGCCACAGGAAGAUUAAGAAGGAGAAAAGGUGAGGGAAGCAAGCGCCAGAGAAAUUGAUGGAAAGACAGCGCUGCUGCCCUUCUCUUCUCAAAUGGGAUGGAUGUGAGGAGCUGGGGGUGGGGAGAGAGGAAAAUAAAAAGUGAGGCCUGCUGCCUGCCGC
This is a non-coding RNA of Macaca mulatta (Rhesus monkey), 313 nucleotides long. Lineage: Eukaryota; Metazoa; Chordata; Mammalia; Primates; Cercopithecidae. The record is from RefSeq and is a predicted model, not a curated record.